Molecule: small RNA, 463 nt
Filed under: Pan troglodytes (chimpanzee)
Lineage: Eukaryota; Metazoa; Chordata; Mammalia; Primates; Hominidae
Description: retained intron
Source: RNAcentral
AACAUGGUCUUGUUUGCUCCCAUCAUCUAUGUCUUGCAGUACCUGGAGAAGGCAGGGCUGCUGACGGAGGAGAUAAGGUCUCGGGCAGUGGGUUUCCUGGAAAUAGGGUACCAGAAGGAGCUGAUGUACAAACACAGCAAUGGCUCAUACAGUGCCUUUGGGGAGCGAGAUGGAAAUGGAAACACAUGGUAAUAUCACCCAAUUCCCAAUGAGUUCUGUACUCCAGAGCAUAAUUCCUGAGCCCUCUGGAACUAUUCCACUACCUCUCCCCUUAACCCCUUUCCUUCUUGCACUCAGUCUUCUACCUCUUUAAUACUGUUUAUUUCACCCUCAUGGAUGGUCAAGUCCCUUGAUCUUCCUGAGCUUGUGCCUCCCUGUUCUUGUCCUCAUUGGUGCCCAUUAAUGCCUCUCUUUUCUAGGCCUGCUAUGGCAUAUGUUCCCUCAGCUCCCCUUCUGGAAGUAU